GCCAAUUAGCUCACAAAUAGUGCUGUCAAAUAUUCUAAUGGGUGUUCCUAGAAUGUAAGUGCUUAGGCUAUCAUUGUCCUCAUAUAGGUUGGCAUAGAACAAUCUCACUAACCGUGGAUAGAUUGGUUCAUCUAUUUGUAGUAGAGGUAGAGCUUCUAGGUGUGCAAACCAACUAAUGGGAUCUACGUCCUCUAGUUCAUCCAGAUCAACGUAUUUUCCCUUAUGGACACAUCGUGUUUCAAAUUUUGGAAAGCUAAGGGCUACCUCUUUUGAUCUAAAAAGAUCAUGGUUAUAUGAAUCUCCUUCAAUCCUUUUUCCUUUUGAUCUCUUAGGAGCCAUUUUCUAGACAAGAUGAUGAUGAAAUUGUGAAAAAUAAGCAAGAGAAAGAGAAAAGAAAAGAGGGAUUUCAAGUGUUACCUUGUGGAGAUUAUGUUGAGAGAUGGAGAGCUUGGACCACCAAGAAUCCUUCUCCAAUGCUUCUAAGAGUUAGAAUGAGGGUUAGAGGGAAUGGGAGAGGGUUUUGAGAGCUUUUU
Molecule: long non-coding RNA, 533 nt
Filed under: Musa acuminata (dwarf banana)
Lineage: Eukaryota; Viridiplantae; Streptophyta; Magnoliopsida; Zingiberales; Musaceae
Description: long non-coding RNA (MACU_LNC009813)
Source: RNAcentral